UUAUGGCUGGAACAUAUUCCGUGGUGUAUCUGUACAGCAGUUUCUUCAUCCCUGCAGCUGUGUGUGGACGGGCCAUAUACCAUGAUGUCCUCCAGGUUCAACAGUGUGGCUCCAAAUGAUGAAAUUUCAUUCUGGUUUUCUGGUUGAAGACGAUUCUAUUUGUGUACAUCCACCAAGUAUCCCUUCAUCUGCGGAUGGGCAGGUUUUUCCAUGUGGCUGCAAGUGACGAGAUUUCACCCAUUUCUAUGAUUGAAGAAUAUUCUACUCUG
Long non-coding RNA from Sapajus apella (tufted capuchin), 269 nucleotides. RefSeq lists it as uncharacterized. The transcript is spliced from 3 exons. The record is from RefSeq and is a predicted model, not a curated record. NCBI's taxonomy places the organism in Eukaryota, Metazoa, Chordata, Mammalia, Primates, Cebidae.